RNAcentral lists this ribosomal RNA (936 nucleotides) under uncultured bacterium. RNAcentral's name for it is "bacterial SSU rRNA". It matches the Rfam family "Bacterial small subunit ribosomal RNA", at positions 38 to 943 of the family's 1533-position model. The record is from RNAcentral.
UGCAGUGCGCAGUCUACCUGCAGUCGAACGGGCCUGUCCCUGGGUCUUUUGGUUGGGGGUGGGUUAGUGGCGAACGGGUGAGUUACACAUGAGUAACCUCGCCCCUCACUUCUGGAUAACCGCUUGAAAGGGUGGCUAAUACGGGGUGUUCUGGCUGUGCCGCAUGGUGUGGUUGGGAAAGAUUCACUAUUUGUUUGGUGUUUGGUGGGGGAUGGGCUCGCGGCCUAUCAGCUUGUUGGUGGGGUGAUGGCCUGCCAAGGCUUUGACGGGUAGCCGGCCUGAGAGGGUGGGCGGUCACACUGGGACUGAGACACGGCCCAGACUCCUGCGGGAGGCAGCAGUGGGGGAUAUUGCACAAUGGGCGGAAGCCUGAUGCAGCGACGUCGCGUGAGGGAUGGAGGCCUUCGGGUUGUGAACCUCUUUCGCCGGUGAAGAAGGUCCUGCUUUUUGGGUGGGGUUGACGGUAGCCGGGUUAUGAAGCGCCGGCUAACUACGUGCCAGCAGCCGCGGUAAUACGUAGGGCGCGAGCGUUGUCCGGAAUUAUUGGGCGUAAAGGGCUUGUAGGCGGCUGGUCGCGUCUGUCGUGAAAUCCUCUGGCUCAGCUGGGGGCGUGCGGUGGGUACGGGCUGGCUUGAGUGCGGUAGGGGAGGCUGGAACUCCUGGUGUGGCGGUGGAAUGCGCAGAUAUCAGGAGGAACACCGGUGGCGAAGGCGGGUCUCUGGGCCGUUACUGACGCUGAGGAGCGAAAGCGUGGGGAGCGAACAGGAUUAGAUACCCUGGUAGUCCAUGCUGUAAACGUUGGGCACUAGGUGUGGGGGGUCUUUCCGGGCCGUCCGCGCCGUAGCUAACGCAUUAAGUGCCCCGCCUGGGGAGUACGGCCGCAAGGCUAAAACUCAAGGGAUUUGACGGGGGCCCGCACAAGCGGCGGAGCAUACG